ACGCGUUGGGAGCUCUCCCAUAUGGUCGACCUGCAGGCGGCCGCGAAUUCACUAGUGAUUCGUAUUACCGCGGCUGCUGGCACGGAGUUAGCCGGAGCUUAUUCUCCCGGUACUGUCAUUAUCAUCCCGGGUAAAAGAGCUUUACAACCCUAAGGCCUUCAUCACUCACGCGGCAUUGCUGGAUCAGGCUUUCGCCCAUUGUCCAAUAUUCCCCACUGCUGCCUCCCGUAGGAGUCUGGGCCGUGUCUCAGUCCCAGUGUGGCUGAUCAUCCUCUCAGACCAGCUAAGGAUCGUCGCCUUGGUGCGCCUUUACCACACCAACUAGCUAAUCCUACGCGGGCUCAUCCCUCGGCGAUAAAUCUUUGGACUUACGUCGUCAUCCGGUAUUAGCAGUCAUUCCUAACUGUUAUUCCGAACCAAGGGGCAGAUUCCCACGCGUUACGCACCCGUGCGCCACUAAGGCCGAAGCCUUCGUUCGACUUGCAUGUGUUAGGCAUGCCGCCAGCGUUCGUUCUGAGCCAUGAUCAAACUCUAAUCGAAUUCCCGCGGCCGCCAUGGCGGCCGGGAGCAUGCGACGUCGGGCCC
RNAcentral lists this ribosomal RNA (585 nucleotides) under uncultured Alphaproteobacteria bacterium. Its description in RNAcentral is "partial 16S ribosomal RNA". The record is from RNAcentral. Lineage: Bacteria; Pseudomonadati; Pseudomonadota; Alphaproteobacteria.